This 276-nucleotide ribosomal RNA is filed under the name uncultured prokaryote. RNAcentral's name for it is "partial 16S ribosomal RNA". It matches the Rfam family "Bacterial small subunit ribosomal RNA", at positions 524 to 800 of the family's 1533-position model. The record is from RNAcentral.
UACGUAUGGGGCUAGCGUUAUCCGGAUUUACUGGGCGUAAAGGGUGCGUAGGCGGUCUUUCAAGUCAGGAGUGAAAGGCUACGGCUCAACCGUAGUAAGCUCUUGAAACUGUAAGACUUGAGUGCAGGAGAGGAGAGUGGAAUUCCUAGUGUAGCGGUGAAAUGCGUAGAUAUUAGGAGUAACACCAGUGGCGAAGGCGACUUACUGGACUGUAACUGACGCUGAGUCACGAAAGCGUGGGUAGCAAACAGGAUUAGAUACCCCGGUAGUCCCUGA